GCAGUUCUUUGUCGUAUAUAUAUAUAUAGAGAGAGAGAGAGAGAGAGAGAGAGAGAGAGAGAGAGAGAGGUGUUAAAAAUAAGGGUUUGAGUUCGAUUGAGAAAAUUCUGAAACAAUGGCUGGUGGAAUCGCAUCGAGAUCGGGAGGCAUCUUGAAGUUUCUUAACCCUAAACCUCGGCUCCAGCCUACCGAUAUCCAGUCUGCCGCCUUGUGGGGUGUUGCCGGCGUCACCUCUGCUCUUUGGCUUGUCCAGCCGUUCAACUGGUUGAAGAAGACAUUUCUGGAGAAACCUGAGGCUGAAGGGCAGUGAUUUUGGUGCAGAAUCUUACUGGAACUUUGUAUGGUAAUUCUUCUGAGUUAGGCGAGUGAACGGGGUAGAUUCCGUAUGAAUAAUGUUUUAGUUUCUGUUGCUUGUUUGUAGCUUUCUCUGGGGGGCUGCAGCACGGUAACUUGUUUAUGACGAUUUUCUUUCACAUAAUUUGAUGAAGUUCUGUUGACAGACAUGUAUGAGCUGGGCCAUUAUCUUUCACAUCUCAAUGCUUUGGUGGUCUUUAUUAUU
Long non-coding RNA from Juglans regia (Persian walnut), 559 nucleotides. RefSeq lists it as uncharacterized. The record is from RefSeq and is a predicted model, not a curated record. The transcript has 2 exons. Lineage: Eukaryota; Viridiplantae; Streptophyta; Magnoliopsida; Fagales; Juglandaceae.